This 263-nucleotide long non-coding RNA is filed under the name Homo sapiens (human). RNAcentral describes it as "non-protein coding lnc-PCDH20-8:1". Lineage: Eukaryota; Metazoa; Chordata; Mammalia; Primates; Hominidae. The record is from RNAcentral.
GGUAUGGUGUGACCUCAGAGAAGAUGUCUACUUGGCAUGGUUAGAUAAUGAAUUUGAAUUUCAUGGGGAUCUUCAGUGUCUCAAAUUUAAGAAGUAAAUUUUAUAGUAAAUAUUAUGGGAAUCAAAAAGUGAGAUCUUUGACACAAUAAAGGAGAUUUAUUGUACCUUAUAUUUCACCAAUGUACGUAGGUUCCUUUCUUACUGCAAGAAAGGUCACUUGAAGAUCGAAUGUGCUUGUAUUUUUCUUAAUAUGUUAAUAAAGC